UCAUGAGAAGAACACUAGAAAAAAAACCCACAUGUACAAUGUUCUUUCACUGCGUGUGCAACAGAGUGAAAACUUGGGAACGGUGGGGAGGAGCCGAAACUUGGUUCAAUUGUAAUCACACAUUUGUGUUGGGUGGGGUGAUAGAGGCGGAAAAUGGCAGCUUUUGAAGUUACCUUCAAUUCAACCAGAUAGGAUUUUUUCUUGGUGUUCAUGGUAUGAAAAAGAAACACAUUUCAUUUCAGUUAUUACUCACUAUUGGUCCCGUCUAGCUAAUCCUAAGUACGUAUAUCUGUAAUAAUAUCUCUGAGCACCAUGUUCAAUAAUUUUAGUCUGCACACCGUAAGUAAACAUGCAUGCGCAUACAUACAAAUAUGUAUGUGGGGUAGGAAUAAGACAGAAGAUGUUUUCGCUUGUAUCAUCGGUGAGGAAUGCGAGUAUGAAUGUGAGCAAGGAACGGGAGAGUCUCAUCUUUUAUUCUCCCACCACCAUACUGACACUCUCAUGGUCUCGCUUGACUUGCAAAAAAUGAAGGAUGCCAGUAAAGGUGUGAGUGUGACAGGUUUUAAAAUAUAAUUAUCACAACCAACUUAAACCAUCCGGGUCUCCCAAGCAAGAAGUUCUCAUUUGUUCGUCUGUAUCUACCCUCGUCUUUUUUGGAGCUGUCUCAUCUUCCACACUCGCCCUUCUUCAUCUCUCCGAAGUACAUCUUCUUCACUUUGCUGAGUGAAUGGCUUUAAUGAGUAAAGAAAAUGGUUCAAAUCUAUUCUUAGGAGUUUGUUUUCUAUCUGUUGGUCUCACUUUGUGACACUUUUUCAUAACACGAAUCUAAUGUUUCACCCUACAAAGAAAGCAUAUGAGCUGCAACUGACAGCCUGGUGAAGGUGUUGCAAAAACGACGAGCCAGCAGGUCAUUUAAUUAUUCGUAUUAUUUAGAUAUCCGAAAUCUUUGUAUUUUUCACUGAUGAAGAUGACAGUGCUUCAUUGAAAGCUAGCAAUUUCCAAAAUGAAAUCAAGAAAUUCAUAAUUUAUCAACAGUAUCGACUGCAGUACACAGAGCUUCAGAUCGAACUUCAUGAUACAAAGUUGUAUGAAAUCAACUUCAACAAACAUGAAAACUCAAUAACCAUUUAUCUCUCAUUUUUAAACUGGCUUCGUGUUCACAGCAUUAAAUUGAAUCUUGAAUCUUGGGUUGGAUGCCAAUACGGAUUGCCUGCGGACUCGGUGUACCCAAUUUUUCUUCCAGCAAAGAAAAUAACCAGCAGGGUUUGGGAAAUAAGUGGAUUUGAUUCACUCAAGAAUUUGUUGGUUUCAACAAAUGA
This is a long non-coding RNA of Folsomia candida, 1319 nucleotides long. RefSeq lists it as uncharacterized. The transcript is spliced from 2 exons. The record is from RefSeq and is a predicted model, not a curated record. Lineage: Eukaryota; Metazoa; Arthropoda; Collembola; Entomobryomorpha; Isotomidae.